CAUCGGAAAGCUAAACAGCAUUGGCCUUUUAAGCCAGAGAAGGUAAUCUUUACCUCCGAUGA
RNAcentral lists this transfer RNA (62 nucleotides) under Chloeia sp. r EEE-2022. Its description in RNAcentral is "tRNA-Lys". The record is from RNAcentral. Lineage: Eukaryota; Metazoa; Annelida; Polychaeta; Eunicida; Amphinomidae.